RNAcentral lists this ribosomal RNA (465 nucleotides) under Vreelandella stevensii. RNAcentral describes it as "partial 16S ribosomal RNA". It matches the Rfam family "Bacterial small subunit ribosomal RNA", at positions 338 to 795 of the family's 1533-position model. The record is from RNAcentral. Lineage: Bacteria; Pseudomonadati; Pseudomonadota; Gammaproteobacteria; Oceanospirillales; Halomonadaceae.
CCUACGGGAGGCUGCGGUGGGGAAUAUUGGACAAUGGGGGGGACCCUGAUCCAGCCAUGCCGCGUGUGUGAAGAAGGCCCUCGGGUUGUAAAGCACUUUCAGUGAGGAAGAACGCCUGGUGGUUAAUACCCAUCAGGAAAGACAUCACUCACAGAAGAAGCACCGGCUAACUCCGUGCCAGCAGCCGCGGUAAUACGGAGGGUGCGAGCGUUAAUCGGAAUUACUGGGCGUAAAGCGCGCGUAGGUGGCUUGAUAAGCCGGUUGUGAAAGCCCCGGGCUCAACCUGGGAACGGCAUCCGGAACUGUCAAGCUAGAGUGCAGGAGAGGAAGGUAGAAUUCCCGGUGUAGCGGUGAAAUGCGUAGAGAUCGGGAGGAAUACCAGUGGCGAAGGCGGCCUUCUGGACUGACACUGACACUGAGGUGCGAAAGCGUGGGUAGCAAACAGGAUUAGAUACCCGGGUAGUC